CCCGGUGAGACUUGUCUUUAACGGCCGCAGUUAGUAGCUGUGCUAAGGUAGCGUAAUCAGUUGCCCCUUAAUUAGGGGAAGGAAUGAAUGGUUUGACGUGAUGAACUCUGUCUUUAGGACAAUACAAGAAUUUUCCGUUUCAGUGAAGAGGCUGGAUUUUCUUUAUCAGACGAGAAGACCCUGUCGAGCUUGAUUAAUAUAGUAAAUUUUUACUGGUAAAAAUUUGGUUGGGGCAAUCUAGGAGCAAAAACAGCCUCCUUUUUUUAGGCACAGAGCCAAAAUUUUUGAAAUCGGAAAAAGCUACCGUAGGGAUAACAGCGUUAUCUUUUCUGAGAGAACAUAUUGAAGAAAGG
RNAcentral lists this ribosomal RNA (353 nucleotides) under Galeommatoidea sp. MN6974. RNAcentral's name for it is "partial 16S ribosomal RNA". It matches the Rfam family "Bacterial large subunit ribosomal RNA", at positions 1862 to 2515 of the family's 2925-position model. The record is from RNAcentral. Lineage: Eukaryota; Metazoa; Mollusca; Bivalvia; Galeommatida.